Molecule: ribosomal RNA, 253 nt
Filed under: uncultured bacterium
Lineage: Bacteria
Description: partial 16S ribosomal RNA
Rfam family: Bacterial small subunit ribosomal RNA
Source: RNAcentral
UACGUAGGGUGCAAGCGUUACUCGGAAUUACUGGGCGUAAAGCGUGCGCAGGCGGUUAUGCAAGACAGAUGUGAAAUCCCCGGGCUCAACCUGGGAACUGCAUUUGUGACUGCAUGGCUGGAGUGCGGCAGAGGGGGAUGGAAUUCCGCGUGUAGCAGUGAAAUGCGUAGAUAUCAGGAGGAAUACCGAUGGCGAAGGCAGGUCUCUGGGCUGAAACUGACGCUCAUGCACGAAAGCGUGGGGAGCAAACAGG